GAUGAACGCUGGCGGCGUGCCUAAUACAUGCAAGUCGAGCGAACAGACGAGGAGCUUGCUCCUCUGACGUUAGCGGCGGACGGGUGAGUAACACGUGGAUAACCUACCUAUAAGACUGGGAUAACUUCGGGAAACCGGAGCUAAUACCGGAUAAUAUAUUGAACCGCAUGGUUCAAUAGUGAAAGACGGUUUUGCUGUCACUUAUAGAUGGAUCCGCGCCGCAUUAGCUAGUUGGUAAGGUAACGGCUUACCAAGGCAACGAUGCGUAGCCGACCUGAGAGGGUGAUCGGCCACACUGGAACUGAGACACGGUCCAGACUCCUACGGGAGGUAGCAGUAGGGAAUCUUCCGCAAUGGGCGAAAGCCUGACGGAGCAACGCCGCGUGAGUGAUGAAGGUCUUCGGAUUGUAAAACUCUGUUAUUAGGGAAGAACAAAUGUGUAAGUAACUAUGCACGUCUUGACGGUACCUAAUCAGAAAGCCACGGCUAACUACGUG
Molecule: ribosomal RNA, 497 nt
Filed under: uncultured bacterium
Lineage: Bacteria
Description: partial 16S ribosomal RNA
Rfam family: Bacterial small subunit ribosomal RNA
Source: RNAcentral